AAGUGCGAAUGCUGACAUGAGUAGCGAUAAUGGGAGUGAAAAGCUCCCACGCCGUAAGCCCAAGGUUUCCUGUUCAACGUUCAUCGGAGCAGGGUGAGUCGGCCCCUAAGGCGAGGCAGAGAUGCGUAGCUGAUGGGAAGCAGGUUAAUAUUCCUGCACCGUCGUAUGAUGCGAUGGGGGGACGGAUCGCGGAAGGUCGUCAGGCGGUUGGAAGAGCCUGUUCUUGACUUGUAGAAGGCACUUAGGCAAAUCCGGGUGCGUAAUUCAAGGGGUUGAGACGAGUGAAUUUAUUCACGAAGCGAUCGGAAGUGGUUCCAAGAAAAGCCUCUAAGCUUCAGUCAUACGAGACCGUACCGCAAACCGACACAGGUGGGCGAGAUGAGUAUUCUAAGGCGCUUGAGAGAACUCGGGAGAAGGAACUCGGCAAAUUGGUACCGUAACUUCGGGAUAAGGUACGCCCUUGUAGUUUGACCCCCCUGCGGGGGAAGGAUGAAAGGGUUGCAAUAAACUGGUGGCUGCAACUGUUUAAUAAAAACACAGCACUAUGCAAACACGAAAGUGGACGUAUAUGGUGUGACUCCUGCCCGGUGCUGGAAGAUUAAAUGAUGGGGUGCAAGCUCUUGAUUGAAGUCCCAGUAAACGGCGGCCGUAACUAUAACGGU
Molecule: ribosomal RNA, 662 nt
Filed under: Aulacoseira subarctica
Lineage: Eukaryota; Bacillariophyta; Melosirophyceae; Melosirales; Aulacoseiraceae
Description: partial Bacterial large subunit ribosomal RNA
Rfam family: Bacterial large subunit ribosomal RNA
Source: RNAcentral